Molecule: ribosomal RNA, 1611 nt
Filed under: Triticum aestivum (bread wheat)
Lineage: Eukaryota; Viridiplantae; Streptophyta; Magnoliopsida; Poales; Poaceae
Description: partial small subunit ribosomal RNA
Source: RNAcentral
AUGGAGGCCCUCACGCUCACCUCCCUCCUCAAGGCCGCCGCCGCCGCCUUCCCCGACCGCCGCGCCAUCGCCGUCCACGGCAAGAUCGACCUCACGCACGCCGCGCUCGACGCCCUCGUCGACGCCGCCGCCGCGCGCCUCGCCGCCGGCGCCCACGGGCUCCGCCCCGGCCAGACCGUCGCGCUCUGCUUCCCCAACACCGUCGAGCUGGUGGUGGUGUUCCUGGCGGUGAUCCGCGCGCGGGGCGUGGCCGCGCCGCUCAACCCGGCCUACACGCAGGACGAGUUCGAGUUCUACCUCUCCGACUCGGGCGCGCGCCUGCUCGUCACCGGCGCCGACGGCAACGCGCCCGCGCAGGCCGCCGCCGCCAAGCUCGGCCUGCCCCACGCCGUCGCCGCCACGCUCACCGACGCAGCAGGGCCGCUCGGCCUCACCGGCCUUGCCGGGGACAUCCAAGAUAACCACCCCGCGCCCCAGAACAACGGCACCGUCCAUCAGGACGGAGGCAACGAGCCGUCGGACGUGGCCCUGUUCCUGCACACCUCCGGCACGACGAGCCGGCCCAAGGGGGUGCCGCUCACGCAGCGCAACCUGGCGGCCUCCGUCCAGAACAUCCGCGCCGUGUACCGGUUCGCGGAGACGGACGCGACGGUGGUGACACUGCCGCUGUUCCACGUGCACGGCCUCAUGUGCGCGCUGCUGUCCUCUCUGGCGUCCGGCGCGUCGGUGGCGCUCCCGGCCGCCGGCCGCUUCUCGGCGUCCACGUUCUGGGGCGACAUGCUCGCGGCGGGCGCCACGUGGUACACGGCGGUGCCCACGAUCCACCAGAUCAUCCUGGACCGGCACGCGUCGCUGCCGGAGCCGCGGUACCCGGCGCUGCGGUUCGUGCGCAGCUGCAGCGCGUCGCUGGCGCCGGUGAUCCUGGAGCGGCUGGAGGCGGCGUUGGGGGCGCCGGUGCUGGAGGCGUACGCCAUGACGGAGGCCUCCCACAUGAUGACCUCCAACCCGCUGCCGCAGGACGGGGCGCGCAAGCCGGGGUCCGUGGGGCGCGCGGCGGGGUCGCUGGAGGUGGCGGUGCUGGACGAGGUCGGCAGCCAGGUCCCCGCCGGCGAGCGCGGGGAGGUGUGCAUCCGCGGGCCGAACGUGACGGCGGGGUACAAGACGGCCGACCCCGGCGCGAACGAGGCGGCGUUCCUGCACGGGUGGUUCCACACGGGGGACAUCGGGGUGAUGGACGGCGAGGGGUACCUCUCCCUCGUCGGGCGGAUCAAGGAGCUCAUCAACCGGGGCGGCGAGAAGAUCUCGCCGAUCGAGGUGGACUCGGUGCUGCUGGGCCACCCGGACGUGGCGCAGGCGGUGUCGUUCGGCGUCCCCGACGAGAAAUACGGCGAGGAGAUCCACUGCGCGGUGAUCCCCCGGGAGGGAACGAGCGUGGCGCUGGGGGAGGAGGAGGUGGUGGCCUUCUGCCGGAAGAACCUGGCGGCGUUCAAGGUGCCCAAGAAGGUGUACAUCGCCGCCGACCUGCCCAAGACGGCCACCGGCAAGAUCCAGCGACGCAUCGUCGCGCAGCACUUCUUCGUGCCCGCCGCCGCCGCCGCCGCCAAGGCCUAG